UACUGGUAAGGAAGACGGGGAGGGAGGCGAAUGGUUGGUUUCCUCGCUGGGUAACUGCGUUGAGAACAGGGUAGAAAAUUUCCUCUGCUGUUCGAGUGGAAACUACCACUAGAUACGUGGGAGGACAACAGCCUGCCUACCUAUUCAUAUCACUACUGAAGCCUACUAAACAGGAACCAUUGGAAUGACUGGAGAACAGGUCGGAAUGUGGUUCAGUAAAGGAAUAUGAACUACUGAAAACAUAGGGAUGAACAAGGAUCCUAUGUAGUACAACGUGUAUUACAAAAUAUGAAUAAAAUAAUUGCAGAUUGU
This is a long non-coding RNA of Anguilla anguilla (European eel), 312 nucleotides long. RefSeq lists it as uncharacterized. The record is from RefSeq and is a predicted model, not a curated record. The transcript has 2 exons. Lineage: Eukaryota; Metazoa; Chordata; Actinopteri; Anguilliformes; Anguillidae.